This 254-nucleotide ribosomal RNA is filed under the name uncultured bacterium. Its description in RNAcentral is "partial 16S ribosomal RNA". It matches the Rfam family "Bacterial small subunit ribosomal RNA", at positions 524 to 776 of the family's 1533-position model. The record is from RNAcentral.
UACGUAGGGAGCAAGCGUUGUUCGGAUUUACUGGGCGUAAAGCGCGCGUAGGCGGCGCGGUAAGUCACUUGUGAAAUCUCUGAGCUUAACUCAGAACGGCCAAGUGAUACUGCAGUGCUAGAGUGCAGAAGGGGCAAUCGGAAUUCUUGGUGUAGCGGUGAAAUGCGUAGAUAUCAAGAGGAACACCUGAGGUGAAGACGGGUGGCGGGGCUGAAACUGACGCUGAGUGCGCGAAAGCCAGGGGAGCAAACGGG